Molecule: ribosomal RNA, 253 nt
Filed under: uncultured bacterium
Lineage: Bacteria
Description: partial 16S ribosomal RNA
Rfam family: Bacterial small subunit ribosomal RNA
Source: RNAcentral
UACGAAGGGGGCUAGCGUUGCUCGGAAUCACUGGGCGUAAAGCGCACGUAGGCGGCUCUUUAAGUCAGGGGUGAAAUCCUGGAGCUCAACUCCAGAACUGCCUUUGAUACUGGGGAUCUCGAGUCCGGAAGAGGUGAGUGGAACUCCGAGUGUAGGGGUGAAAUUCGUAGAUAUUCGGAAGAACACCAGUGGCGAAGGCGGCUCACUGGUCCGGUACUGACGCUGAGGUGCGAAAGCGUGGGGAGCAAACAGG